This 460-nucleotide ribosomal RNA is filed under the name uncultured bacterium. RNAcentral describes it as "partial 16S ribosomal RNA". It matches the Rfam family "Bacterial small subunit ribosomal RNA", at positions 338 to 795 of the family's 1533-position model. The record is from RNAcentral.
CCUACGGGGUGCAGCAGUGAGGAAUAUUGGUCAAUGGACGAGAGUCUGAACCAGCCAAGUAGCGUGAAGGAUGACUGCCCUAUGGGUUGUAAACUUCUUUUAUAUGGGAAUAAAAUGUUCCACGUGUGGGAUUUUGUAUGUACCAUAUGAAUAAGGAUCGGCUAACUCCGUGCCAGCAGCCGAGGUAAUACGGAGGAUCCGAGCGUUAUCCGGCUUUAUUGGGUGUAAAGGGAGCGUAGGUGGAUUGUUAAGUCAGUUGUGAAAGUUUGCGGCUCAAACGUAAAAUUGCAGUUGAAACUGGCAGUCUUGAGUACAGUAGAGGUGGGCGGAAUUCGUGGUGUAGCGGUGAAAUGCUUAGAUAUCACGAAGAACUCCGAUUGCGAAGGCAGUUCACUGGACUGCAACUGACACUGAGGCUCGAAAGUGUGGGUAUCAAACAGGAUUAGAUACCCCGGUAGUC